GGGCUGCUCAGAGUUUAGUCAUAUCAGGAAAUAGAACAGAUUCAGCCAUGGCCCCAAGGAAGAGAGGUGGACAGGGUAUUUCGUUCAUCUUCUGCUGUUUCCAAAAUAAUGAUCACCCAGAAAUCACGUAUCAGCUGUGAAACGAUAGCAACUUUGUGCUUCAGACCAUGGAACCAGCAUUGCCCAUGCCCCCUGUGGAGGAGCUAGACGUCAUGUUCCAUGAACUGGUGGAUGAACUUGACCUCACAGAUAAACACAGGGAAGCUAUGUUUGCACUUCCAGCUGAGAAAAAAAAUGGCAAAUAUAUUGUAGCAAGAAAAAGGACCAGGAAGAAAACAAGGGAGCUACAAGUUGGCCUGAAUUCUACAUCGAUCAGCUCAAUUCCACGGCUGUUAGAAAAUCUCUGCUGGCUUUAGAGAAGGAAGAAGAAGAAGAGAGAAGUAAAACUACAGAGAGUUUGAAGACAGCACUAAGGACAAAACCAAUGAGGUUUGUAACCAGAUUCAUCAACUUGGAUGGCCUGUCAUGUAUUCUCAACUUUCUAAAGACCAUGGACUACGAGACCUCAGAGUCUCGAAUACAUAGCUUUCUCAUUGGAUGUAUAAAGGCGCUAAUGAACAACUCUCAAGGUCGGGCUCAUGUCCUGGCUCAUUCUGAGAGUAUUAAUGUAAUUGCUCAGAGUCUGAGCACAGAGAACAUUAAGACAAAGUUGGCCGUGGUGGAAAUCUUGGGCACCGUGUGCCUGGUUCCUGGGGGCCACAAGAAGGUUCUGGAGGCCAUGCUGCACUACCAGAAGUACACCAGUGAAAGAACCUGUUACCAGACAUUAAUUAAUGACUUGGAUAAAAGCACAGGGCGGUAUCGAGAUGAAGUGAGCCUGAAGACGGCCAUCAUGCCCUUCAUCAGCGCAGUGCUAAGCCGAGGUGCAGGCAUGGAGAGUUUGGACUUCAGACUUCAUCUUCGCUAUGAAUUUCUGAUGUUAGGAAUUCAACCUGUGAUAGAUAAAUUAAGGGAACAUGAAAAUUCAACAUUAGAUAGGCAUUUAGACUUUUUUGAAAUGCUCCGAAAUGGAGAUGAACUAGAAUUUGCCAAAAGAUUUGAACUGGUUCACAUAGACACCAAAAGUGCAACUCAGAUGUUUGAGUUGAUGAGGAAGCGGCUGACGCACAGCAAAGCAUACCCUCACUUCAUGUCCAUCCUGCACCACUGCAUCCAGAUGCCUUACAAGAGGAGUGACAACACUGUUCAGUACUGGCUACUACUAGAUAGAAUCAAUCAUACAGCAAAUAGUUAUCCAAAAUGACAAAGGGCAAGAUCCUGACUCCACACCUUUGGAGAACUUUAAUAUUAAGAAUGUUGUACGAAUGUUGGUUAAUGAAAAUGAAGUUAAGCAGUGGAAAGAACAAGCAGAAAAAAUGAGAAAAGAGCACAAUGAGCUACAACAGAAAUUGGAAAAGAAAGAACGAGAAUGUGAUGCCAAGGCCCAAGAGAAAGAAGAGAUGAUGCAGACCUCAAAUAAAAUGAAAGAGAAACUUGAAAAGGAGACCACAGAGCACAAGCAAGUCAAGCAGCAGGUGGCAGACCUCAUGGCGCAGCUCCAGGAGCUCAGCAGGAGGGGCGUCUGUGCUUCAAUCCCAGGUGGACCUUCGCCUGGAGCCCCAGGGGAACCCUUUCCUUCCUCUGCGCCUGGGUCUCUUCUUCUUCCCCCACCGCCCCCACCUCUCCAAGGUGGAAUGCUCCCUUCUCCUCCACCUUCCCUGCCCCCGGGGGGCCCUCCUCCUCCCCCAGGGCCUCCUCCCUUAGGGGGACUUAUGCCACCUCCUGGUGCUCCAGUGAGUCUGGCACUCAAGAAGAAGAACAUUCCUCAACCCACAAAUGCCCUGAAAUCCUUCAAAUGGUCUAAGCUGCCUGAGAACAAACUGGAAGGAACAGUGUGGACCAAAUUGAUGAUUCAAAAGUCUUCAAAAUUCUAGAUCUUGAAGACCUGGAAAGGACUUUCUCUGCCUACCAAAGACAGCAGAAAGAAGCAGAUGCCAUUGAUGACACACUGAGUUGCAAACUUAAAGUCAAAGAGCUUUCGGUGAUUGGUGGUUGGAGAGCUCAGAAUUGCAACAUCCUUCUCUCAAGGUUGAAAUUAUCCAAUGAUGAAAUCAAACGAGCAAUUCUAACAAUGGAUGAACAAGAAGAUCUGCCCAAGGACAUGUUGGAACAGGUUUUGAAAUUUGUUCCUGAAAAAAGUGACAUUGACCUGUUGGAAGAACAUAAACACGAGCUGGAUCUGAUGGCCAAGUCUGAUAGAUUUCUUUUUGAGAUGAGCCGAAUUAAUCAUUAUCAGUAAAGAUUGCAAUCGCUAUACUUCAAAAAGAAGUUUGCAGAGCGCGUGGCAGAAGUGAAACCUAAAGUGGAAGCAAUUCGUUCUCGCUCAGAAGAGGUGUUUAGGAGCAGUUCCCUCAAGUAGUUGCUAGAGGUGGUUUUGGCAUUUGGAAAUUAUAUGAAUAAAGGCCAAAGAGGAAAUGCAUAUGGAUUCAAGAUCUCCAGUCUAAAUAAGAUGGCUGACACAAAAUCCAGUAUUGACAAGAACAUUACCCUUUUGCACUAUCUCAUAACUAUUGUGGAAAAUAAAUGCCCCAAUGUUCUUAAUCUGAAUGAAGAAUUGUAGGAUAUUCCUCAAGCCGCAAAAAUAAACAUGACUGAGCUGGACAAAGAAAUAAGUACCUUGAGAAGUGACUUGAAAGCAGUAGAGACAGAGCUGGAAUAUCAGAAGUCUCAGCCCCCACAGCCCGGAGAUAAGUUUGUGUUCGUUGUCAGCAAGUUCAUCACAGUAGCCAGCUUCAGCUUCUCUGAUGUUGAAGAUCUUCUAGCAGAAGCCAAAGACCUGUUUACUAAAGCAGUGAAGCAUUCUGGGGAAGAAGCUGGCAAAAUACAGCCAGAUGAGUUCUUUGGCAUUUUUAAUCAGUUUCUUCAAGCUGUGUCAGAAGCCAAACAAGAGAAUGAAAGCAUGAGAAGGAAGAAGGAAGAAGAAGAGCGUCGAGCUCGCAUGGAAGCUCAGCUCAAAGAGCAACGUGAAAGGGAACGUAAAAUGAGAAAAGCAAAAGAGAACAGCGAAGAAAGCAGAGAGUUCGAUGACCUCAUUUCAGCAUUACGCUCAGGAGAAGUGUUUGACAAAGACCUUUCCAAAUUGAAACAGAAUCGCAAAUGCAUUACCAACCAGAUGACGGACAGCAGCCGAGAGAGACCAGUCACAAAACUUAAUUUCUAGUUUUCCAUGAAUACUUUUCUAGAAAGCGCAUUAGUAGCCCUUUGAAGUGACUAGAACUUUUUAUUACACUGCCUUGCAAUCCAAACGGUGGCAAUUUCUUCCCUCAUCUGUGAGUGAAUGUGUGUAUGUAAAUGUAUGCAUGUGUAUAUAUAUAUGUAUUAAAAAGUGCAUAUAGAAGUCUGAGUGUUGUCUGGAGACCUAUAUGUAUAGCUAAAAAAUUUUGUUAAUGUAUGUGCUCAGAAACCCUUCGUGUAUGCAUUCACAUUGAGUGUGGCUCAUUUUCUCUCCCUGAACACCGUGACUAUUCAGAAGCACAAUAUUAUCUCCUGAAAGAGAUGACAGAGACAUUCCCUAGAGUAUAUUAAAAAAAGAAAAGGCUUGCAGAAUAUUUUAUGGUUUCCAAGCUUGGUAUACUCUGAAAUUAUUUUCAUUGGUGGAACUGGAGUUGGACAAAUGUAGAUGUAAAAUGGUUUUUGAUAGUUGACAAUGUGAUGCUGGUGCAUCGCAUCAGUAAUAAGUAGGACCAGCUUAGAAUUUCUGACAUUGGUGUGGGGAUACAGUCUGUAAAUAUUUAUUAAGAACAUCUUGCACACAAUGUGAAUCAUGUAGAAUGUCAAUCAGAAUUUUUCUGUAUAUUUAAAACUUGGACAUCAAUUUUUCCCCCCAAUUUCAUCAAGUUCUCUGCCAAGUACUCUUGAUGACUUCUUUAAAUUGCUUUUGAAAAGAACACUAUCUUCAUGCAAUCCACACUCUUGUCAAAGAAAAAGAUUACCAGAAUGUGCUUCUUGUUCUAACAAUAUAGAUAUAUAUAAACCUGUAAAAUAAAAUAUCCUACCCAAGACUUAAAGGUAGAAUUCUCUGAAGGGAUA
Microcebus murinus (gray mouse lemur) is the source of this 4128-nucleotide non-coding RNA. NCBI's taxonomy places the organism in Eukaryota, Metazoa, Chordata, Mammalia, Primates, Cheirogaleidae. The record is from RefSeq and is a predicted model, not a curated record.